This 248-nucleotide long non-coding RNA is filed under the name Trifolium pratense (red clover). Its description in RNAcentral is "long non-coding RNA (TPRA_LNC013556)". Lineage: Eukaryota; Viridiplantae; Streptophyta; Magnoliopsida; Fabales; Fabaceae. The record is from RNAcentral.
GGAGCAACUAAAGGUCAUCUAAAAACUCUCCUAAUACCAAAAACGAAAAUUACAAUAAAAAUAAAGAAAAUUGGACUUAAUUGUUUUUUUAUUUAGUCCAAUAUUAUUAGACCACAAUUCAGUCCAAAGAUGCUUCUUAUCAUAUGAAUUGGCUUCAAGUUGGGCUCAAGCAUCUUCAUCCAAAUAUUUUUUAUGCAUUUUUUUAUAAGUUUCCUUCCACAUGUUUAGGGAACUCAUGAUCGUAUCAC